Molecule: non-coding RNA, 508 nt
Organism: Camellia sinensis
Lineage: Eukaryota; Viridiplantae; Streptophyta; Magnoliopsida; Ericales; Theaceae
Source: RefSeq, a predicted model, not a curated record
UUCCCCAUUAAAUCCAAUAUAUUAGGGACAAUCAGAGGUGGUGACCAUUAGUGGGUACCAUGAUGUGCCGGAGAACAAUGAAGGGAGCCUCUUGAAGGCACUUGCAAAUCAGCCUCUCAGUGUCGCCAUUGAGGCUUCUGGCAGAGAUUUCCAAUUUUACAGUGGGGGUGUGUUUGACGGGCACUGUGGAACCGAGCUGGACCAUGGAGUGACAGCCGUUGGAUAUGGAUCGGCCAAGGGAUUGGAUUACAUAAUAGUGAAGAAUUCAUGGGGACCAAAAUGGGGAGAGAAAGGAUACAUAAGGAUGAAGAGAAACACAGGAAAAGCUGAGGGGAUAUGUGGUAUCAACAAAAUGGCUUCUUAUCCUACUAAAACUAAAAAGUGAUGUUAUUGAUGUUGUUGGUGGUUGUUGUUUUGGUGUUUUCGUUUUCCCUCUCUGUUGUUUUAUUCGCCUUUUCAAAAUUAGAUUGUAAUCUGAAGGCAUUAUCAUUAUUUUAAUAUACGUAUU